This 440-nucleotide ribosomal RNA is filed under the name uncultured bacterium. RNAcentral describes it as "partial 16S ribosomal RNA". It matches the Rfam family "Bacterial small subunit ribosomal RNA", at positions 338 to 795 of the family's 1533-position model. The record is from RNAcentral.
CCUACGGGAGGCAGCAGUGGGGAAUAUUGCACAAUGGGGGAAACCCUGAUGCAGCGACGCCGCGUGAGUGAGGAAGUAUUUCGGUACGUAAAGCUCUAUCAGCAGGGAAGAAAAUGACGGUACCUGACUAAGAAGCCCCGGCUAACUACGUGCCAGCAGCCGCGGUAAUACGUAGGGGGCAAGCGUUAUCCGGAUUUACUGGGUGUAAAGGGAGCGUAGACGGCAGCGCAAGUCUGGAGUGAAAUCCCAUGGCUUAACCAUGGAACUGCUUUGGAAACUGUGCAGCUAGAGUGCAGGAGAGGUAAGCGGAAUUCCUAGUGUAGCGGUGAAAUGCGUAGAUAUUAGGAGGAACACCAGUGGCGAAGGCGGCUUACUGGACUGUAACUGACGUUGAGGCACGAAAGCGUGGGGAGCAAACAGGAUUAGAUACCCCAGUAGUC